AUUGAACGCUGGCGGCAUGCCUUACACAUGCAAGUCGAACGGCAGCACGGGAGCAAUCCUGGUGGCGAGUGGCGAACGGGUGAGUAAUAUAUCGGAACGUGCCCAGUAGUGGGGGAUAGCCCGGCGAAAGCCGGAUUAAUACCGCAUACGACCUGUGGGUGAAAGCGGGGGAUCGCAAGACCUCGCGCUAUUGGAGCGGCCGAUAUCAGAUUAGCUUGUUGGUGGGGUAAAAGCCCACCAAGGCGACGAUCUGUAGCUGGUCUGAGAGGACGACCAGCCACACUGGGACUGAGACACGGCCCAGACUCCUACGGGAGGCAGCAGUGGGGAAUUUUGGACAAUGGGCGCAAGCCUGAUCCAGCCAUACCGCGUGUGGGAAGAAGGCCUCGG
RNAcentral lists this ribosomal RNA (390 nucleotides) under uncultured bacterium. Its description in RNAcentral is "bacterial SSU rRNA". It matches the Rfam family "Bacterial small subunit ribosomal RNA", at positions 29 to 420 of the family's 1533-position model. The record is from RNAcentral.